Molecule: long non-coding RNA, 378 nt
Organism: Impatiens glandulifera
Lineage: Eukaryota; Viridiplantae; Streptophyta; Magnoliopsida; Ericales; Balsaminaceae
Exons: 2
Source: RefSeq, a predicted model, not a curated record
AUGAAAUAUACUCAUUCUAAUCCUCUCCCUCAUUAUGACCAAAUGUGUCAAUUUUCUCAAACUACUACUCAUUAUAAUCAUGAUCAUGAUCAUGAACAACUCCACCUUUGCCACCCGACCUUUGACACAUUUUUCGAUGAAAUUUGUCGUCACUCGACAAAACGAUGAGGAUCAUGUGGAAUUAGGAGAUGAUGUGUUGGGAACAACAAUUGGAGAAAGAUGUGGAGAAAAUGAUGAUGAAUGCUUGAAGAAAAGAACUCUCAUUGCUCACCUUGACUAUAUCUAUACUCAAAAGCUAAAACCAUAAACUCAAUUAAUUAAGUAUAAAGACAAUGUAUUAUAUCAAUUAAUUAUUAAUUAUCUUUUUAGUUGUGUUCA